This 38754-nucleotide long non-coding RNA is filed under the name Lactuca sativa (garden lettuce). RNAcentral describes it as "long non-coding RNA (LSAT_LNC003200)". Lineage: Eukaryota; Viridiplantae; Streptophyta; Magnoliopsida; Asterales; Asteraceae. The record is from RNAcentral.
UCUUUCAGAUGUCUUCAAACAAUGCUGCUUCUGGCUCUAACCCUAAUAGCUCCUUUACCCUUAUGAACUUGUGUGGGAAAGUCACUUUUGAUGGAUCCAACUUCAAUGAGUGGAUCAGAAACAUCAGGAUGAUUACCCGCUACGAGGAGAAAGAAUAUGUCCUCGACAAGGAGCUUAAGGAGAUUGAUGAGACCAAUGCAACUCCCCAGGAGAUCGCUGACUUUCAGGCACAUGAAAGGGAUGCUACCAAAGUGGCAUGCAUCAUGAUGGCCACGAUGACAGCGGAACUCCAAAAGUCCUAUGGGGACCUCUACCCUUUUGAAAUGAACCAAGAUCUAAUGGAAAGAUACCAUCAAAGUGCACAACAAGAGAGGUAUGGAAUCAUCUGCUCCAUGAUAACAACCAAGAUGAAGGACUGGGAAUCCUUCACGAGCCACAUGCAGAAAAUGCAAAGGUAUGUGGAUCGUUUGCUGAAGCUUAAUGUGAACUUCCCUGAGGAGCUUGCAAUAGGUCUUAAGGGGAAGUCGGUUGUUAACACUCCUACUCCAAACUCCGCUCUGGUUUUGGCAAUCGGGAAAAGUCGAGGGAAGAAGAGAAAGAGCUCUUCGAAGGGUACCAAGGCUAGGACCCUUGAUGGCUCUUCUUCAAGUGGAACCAAGAAAGGUUUCGUCACUCCUUCUUCUGACCCAAAAGAGGCUGAAUGCUUCUAUUGCCAUGAAAAAUCACAUUGGAAGCGGAACUGCCCAAAAUACCAGCAAGAUGUGAAGGAUGGGAAAGUUAAACCCAACCAAGCAUGUAUUUACACUAUCUUAUCUAAUAACUCACCCCAUUCUAACUCUUGGGUCCUUGAUACCGGUUGUGGUAUUCAUAUCUGUUCUGAUUUGUAGGGACUAAUAAGAAGUGAGAAUGUGGAGCAAGGAAGAAUAAACUUAAUCAUGGGGAAUAGGAAAGCUUUACCUGUCACCAAGAUUGGAGUUUACUCUUUAUCGCUAAGUAGUGGGUUUAGUUUAAAUUUGAAUAAGUGUUGUUGUUUGCCAGAAAUGGGAAGAAAUAUUAUUUCCCUUCAUGCAUUGUAUAAACAAGGUUUCACCUUUUCAUUUGAUAAUGAAGUUGGUUCUAUUAAUGCUUUCUUUAAUAAUGUUCUUUAUUUUAAAGCAUUACCUUGUGAUGGCAUGUAUGAAAUAGUAUCUGUGGUUGAUAACUCAGGAAAUAAUGCAUUGUGUAUUGAUUCUGUUGAUAAUAACUUGGAUAAAGCAUCAUAAUGGCAUUGUCGUCUUGGACAUAUAAGCGAGAAACGCAUAGGCCAAAUCCAAAAGGAUGGAGUCUUGGAGUCAUUUGACUUGAAGUCAGAUGAUAGUUGCGAAUCAUGCUUACCUGGAAAAAUAACAAAGUCACCCUUCACAGGUUCGUGUGAGAGGGGUGAAGGUUUGUUGGACCUUGUACACACGGAUGUGUGUGGACCAUUCAAACAUGCCACAAGGGAUGCUAAUCGUUAUUAUUUGACUUUUACUGAUGAUUACAGUAGAUAUGGAUAUGUCUACUUGAUCAAGCAUAAGUCAGAGACUUUCGAAAGGUUUAAGGAAUUUAAACAGGAAGUCGAGAAUCAAUUGGGCAGGAACAUUAAGAUGCUUCGAUCCGAUCGUGGUGGUGAGUAUCUUAGUUCAGAGUUCCUCGACUAUCUUAGGGAAUGUGGGAUAGUCUCACAAUUGACACCUCCCAGGACACCACAGUUGAAUGGUGUGGCUGAGAGGCGUAAUCGAACCUUGUUGGAUAUGGUUCGUUCCAUGAUGAGUCGAGCUUCGCUACCAAUCUCAUUCUGGGGGUAUGCCUUAGAGACUGCCGCCCAUAUCCUUAAUCUAGUCCCUACAAAGAAAGUUGCCAAAACUCCUCACGAGAUGUGGACUGGUAAAGUACCUAAACUAGACCACAUCAAGAUUUGGGGUUGCGAGGCUUUCGUGAGACGCGAGACUCAUGAUAAGCUCGAACCUCGAAGCGAGAGGUGUAUUUUCAUCGGUUACCCACAGCGAUCCUUUGGUUACCUCUUCUACAGACCUAGUGACAAUGUGGUCUUUGUAGCAAGAAGAGGAGUCUUUCGAGAAAGAGAGUUUAUAAGCCAAGGAGACAGUGGGAGGCAAAUUGAUCUUGAAGAAAUUCAAGAAUCAAGCGGUGAAGGAACUUCAAACUCUAGCCCUCAACUUGAGGAGGAAACUCCUGUUGAGCCAAUUGACAAAUCUGUACCUCUGAGACGUUCCACGAGAGUUAGGAGUGCACCUGAGCAUUACUAUGGAUUCCAUAUUACUGCAGAAGGUGAGACACUUAUUAGUGAUGAGACACUAGUAAGUCAAGAUGACCCUAACAGCUACGAGGAAGCCAUGGCAGGCCCCGAGUCUGCUAAAUGGAAAGAGGCUAUGGAUAGCGAGAUACAAUCCAUGUAUGACAAUCAAGUUUGGAACUUGGUUGAAAAUGUACCAGGUCGUAAGACAGUAGGGUGCAAAUGGGUCUUCAAGAAGAAGACCGACAUGGAUGGUAAAGUACACACUUAUAAGGCUAGACUGGUUGCAAAGGGCUUCUCUCAAAUUCCUGGAGUGGAUUAUGAUGAGACCUUUUCUCCGGUAGCCAAGAUUAAGUCUAUUCGGGUUCUGUUAGCCAUAGCUGCAUUUCAUGACUAUGAAAUAUGGCAGAUGGAUGUCAAAACCGCUUUCCUUAAUGGAAAGUUGGCUGAAGAUGUUUACAUGAGUCAGCCAGAGGGUUUUGUCAGCAACGAGUACCCUAAUAGAGUGUGUAAGCUUGAGAAAUCCAUUUAUGGAUUGAAGCAAGCACCUCGCAGAUGGAAUCUUUGCUUUGAUGAAAAGGUCAAGGAAUUUGGCUUUUCUAGGAGUGAAGAUGAAUCUUGUGUGUAUGUCAAGGCUAGUGGGAGUAUAGUUAGCUUUUUGGUAUUGUAUGUGGAUGACAUACUACUCAUAGGAAACGACAUUCCAACCCUGCAGGAAGUAAAGUCCUGGCUUGGGAAGUGUUUCGCUAUGAAGGACCUUGGUGAAGCUGCCUAUAUUCUAGGGAUAAGAAUCUUGAGAGAUCGGAGUAAAAGACUAAUUGGACUUAGUCAGAGUACCUACUUGGAUAAGGUGCUGAAGAGAUUCAGCAUGCAGGAUUCCAAGAAAGGAGAGUUACCCAUCCAGAGUAACACCAGAUUGAGUAAGACACAAAGCCCUAGCACUGAGGCUGAGAUAGCAGAAAUGAGUCGAACACCUUACGCUUCGGCUGUAGGAUCGAUCAUGUAUGCUAUGACGUGUACUCGACCCGAUGUAGCUUUUGCCUUGAGCAUGGUUAGCAGGUAUCAGGCGAACCCUGGCAAGGCACACUGGACUGCGGUAAAGAAUAUCCUCAAGUACCUACGGAGGACUAAGGACUGGGUCCUUACCCUCGGUGGGAGUGAUGACUUGAGAGUUGUAGGGUAUAGUGAUGCUAGCUUCCAGACUGAUAGGGAUAAUUUCCGCUCUCAGUCGGGCUGGGUCUUUACCCUAAACGGAGGAGCAAUUUCUUGGAAGAGUUCCAAGCAAGAGACAGUGGCAGAUUCUACUUGUGAAUCAGAGUAUAUUGCAGCUAGCGAAGCAGCAAAGGAGGCGAUAUGGCUGAAGAACUUCAUUGGAGACCUUGGAGUUGUACCAGCUAUUAAAGAGCCAAUGGAAAUUUUCUGUGAUAGUGAAAGUGCUGUUGCCUUAGCCAAGGAACCAAGGGAUCAUGGGAGAUCCAGACACAUCGACAGAAAAUACCAUUUCAUUAGACAUCGGAUCGAAGAAGGACUCCUCGUGGCAAAGAGGGUAUCAUCGGAUGAGAACCCAGCAGAUCCCCUCACGAAGGGACUGAGUAGGGUUAAGCAUCUCCAGCAUGCUCGGAGCAUAGGGCUGAAGGAUGAUAUAAGUUUUAGUAGUUAGAUAACCCAGAAAUUUGUAAAGUGUAAUUGACAUUUGAUGAUGAAUAAAAGGUGUUUUAUUUAUGAGUAAAGUGUUGCUAUCUCUUGUCAAUCGUUUACUAUAUUUCUUUUGCAUGUUUUGACUUCCAGAAUAAUUUUGUUUGGUGUAACAUAUUAUUCAAACCUCCACAGUCGGUCAUAUGUCGGAAGUAGGUAUGAAUCAAGACUGUCAUGAUGGGUUGUAGAGGUCUAAGGUGUUGGACAAGGCUACAACAAUCAUGAGUGCUCAUAAGUUCUGAGCAUUGGACUCAACCCACGCUCACUGGAAUCACUUCAUGGAAUUCUAUCUCGAGUGAUCGUGAGACGGUAAUAUCAUAUAAGUCUUCAAACCUAGAGAUAUGAUUUGUUACUUACAAGUUGGUUAUGCAUUGACUGUACGAAACCGCAUUGGUAACUCGAUGUUAUAAAACGUACUUUUGUGUGUAAUUCAAUGAGUGGUAGAACAAACAUAUGAGUCGAAGUUUAUCUGUUCCUUCUUGGAUUAGAAGCUGAUAUCUGGGCCCCUCGAUGAUUUUGUUUUGACCCAUGUACCGGGCCCGGUCAGAACUAAGUUGAUGUGUUCAAUUAAGUUCUAUGUCAAACAAAUCGGAAAUCGGGAAACAAAUGCUGGACAAUAAGCAAGACAAUGUUCCAUGUAUUUGUCCGGCUGAUAUCUAGAACGGAGGAUUAUAUGAUCACUUAUCUUAAAUGGCGUACCAUCAUCUUCUCAGUUCCGAGAGACCUUGAAAGAGCUACGAUUGCCGGUCGGUUCCUGAAGUACUAGAGAUAUAGUUAUUAGACUUAUCCAAGUGGGAGACUGUUGGAUAAGGUGUCUAAGUCCAUAACUAUUUCUGGUAAGUACUUGACCCGACCCGGCAUGGUCCAUUUGGGUUGCAUGGCACCAUGCAAUUGGAUAGACUAAAUGAGAGAAAUAACACUUGGAGAUUAUUAAUAUAUUAUAAGUUCUAAUAUAUUAAUAAUAUUAUUUGAUUAAUUUGAUCAAGAAUUAAUUUAGAAUUAAUUAAGGGAUCAUAAGAUAACUAACUAAAUAUAUGGGUUGAUUAUGUAAAUCAUCCAUAUCUUGUAUAGUGGACUAAGAAGCUCCAUGGAUUAUCAAGUUGGGUUCCACCCAUAGGAUGCUCCAUGGAUGCUCCAUGGGAGUUACAAACCCAUGGGUCAUGGAAAUGAAGAGUCAUGACACAUUAGGGUUUACAUGGUGUAACCCGAGCUGUGUCAACACUAUAUAAGAGUCCCAUUCUCCACCAAAAUCGGCUACACAUGAAACAAGAGGGCUAGGCCAAUUUUAAGAAGUGUGUGUUCUCUCAAAAGUCUUUCCAAGAGCAUUUGGUGUUGUGUGAAGCAUUUGAGGCAUCACACUUGGGGUUCUAGGCUCACAAGGUUUCAAGGAACAUAAGCAACAACAAGGUAAGUUAUUCUAUCUUUGAUUCAAGUUAAAAUUGUUCCCCAUGUAUGCUAGAUAGGAAUAUAACCUUGGAAUUCAACUUUGCAUGAUAAUUAGACAAUCAUAGAUCCAAGGUUAUUAGGGUUGCAUGUACACUUAAGAAGUGUUAGAAUGCUCAAAACCCGUCAACUACUUCAUGGCAUGGCAAUAUACUACUGUGUCACGUUUUGUAACCAGAGUCUCCUAGAGGGAGAUCGUGAGUUUGUGUAGAGAUCUAUACGGGUUGACCAUCCUACACCUUGCUGCUAGCUACAGUGCGACCUGCAGGUGUACGGGUGAUGAAUGUCAUACCAUUUCGAUGUCUUCGAAUGUCGUGUUUACUAGUCAAUCAAGUAUGGUUAUAAUCUCAUCACAUUUGCCUUAAUUAAACAAUUGGUUUAAGGUAGUUAGUACAUCUGUAGUUACUAUAUACAAUACUACUAUACAUCAUCAUUUUCCCAUUACAUUCAUAUAGCGAUCUUCUCACAUAAACGGUAAUGUAAACUAUUUCUGAUAAAGAUAGUCAUAUACUUGGGAAGACACUCACUUUUACAAAAGAACAAACAUACAAAACAUUCAGGUCUUGGUAGAAGACUACUCUCCUUUUUAGUAGAAAAUAUAGGAUUUUCUAGGAAGUAUACAAACAUUUACAUCAAAAACUUACAAACUUUACAUCAAACACUUACAAACACUUUCAUCAAACUUAUGCAAACAUUUGACACUAAAAUACUUAUGAACUCACCAGCUUAAAUGUUGAUCUACUCUUUCAAAAUAACUUGUAUUCUCAGUUCACCAGUAGAAAGGUACCAAUGACCAUGUUUUGAGAAGACGGAGUAUGUUCAAGACUCGUCUUAUAUUUUGAUUCAUAUUUUGGUGUCUUUCACACUACAUACAGAACACAAUUGUAUUAAAUUAUAUUAUUAAUGCAAUGGAUGAUGUUGUUGCUUGUUUUACUAUAGUGCACUGUUAUGAUACUGUACAUGACGUCCUCCGCCCCCGAACGUUUCCGCCGUUCUGUUUUGGGGGUGUGACAUGUAACCUACUAUUACCGGGUAUUGAGCACUUAAUAGCCAUGCAAGAUCAUAAAGUUGGAAACGUUAUGAUUAAGGACAUCAUCUGUGGACUAGAUAUGGCUUUUGGACAAAAUAGCUUAAGGGAUUAAGCUCUUAAUAGAAGGAAAAAGACGUAGAUUCGUACGUUAGGGGUACCUGUUGGGACGUCGUGCGUACUGUUGGGUUUUAUGUACUUUAACACUCCUAUGGUGCACAUACAACCCUAAUGCUUUAGAUCUAUGUUUUCUUUAGUUAUACAUGCAACAAAAUUAUCCAAAGCAUGAAACCUAUCUAACAUACAAAUUUGGUACAUGAAUCAUAAAACUAUUUAGAAGAAUACCUCUUAUUUGUAGCUUGUAGUUGUUGGCCUUUCAAGAGCUUAGCACCUCAAGUGUGAUGCCUCAAACAAGUCACAAACACCAUGAACAAAUGGAGGACUUUGAGAGAGAGGCUAGAACCACCAAAAUUGGCUAGGCAUUCACCUUAGGAGUCUUAGGGCCUAUUUUAGCAAGCUAGGGGUUCAUUUUAUAGUUUGGAAUUCCUAGGGUUUCAACUUGUAAACCCUAAUUUACUUGGGCUUUUAAUCCAAUAACUCAUUAGCCUUUUGGACCAACUUUUCAUGGACUCUCACAAAGAUUUAGUCCAAUCCUAAUCAACAUGGAUCUUUAGCCCAAACCAUAAGUAUUAUUGAUUUACCUAAUCAGUCCCCGUAAAUUUAAAUAGUCUCUUUUAAUCACUAAAUUAAUUCCAAAUUAGUUCUUUAUAAAUUUAAUCUAUAGUUCUUAUAAUAUAUUAAUAAAUCACAAAUAACCUCUUUCUCAAAUAUCCAUCCUAUCAAAUUGUUCUGGUGAAGCCAACCCGAAAUGGACCAUACUACUCUCCGGUCAAGUACAUACCAAUUAUAGUUAUGAGCUUAGACACUUAAUCCAACACGUACAAGGUCAACAACCCUAUUUUUAGUCAACACCCUAGUACGCUGUGCGUACAAGCUGAUUACACUUGGCAUACUUAGCUAAGUUGACUCAUUUGACUUCUUUGACUUUUGACUUUGACCAUAUUUUGACCUAGUGUGACCUAGGGGUAUUUUGAACUAUAGACUGAGAUUUGGUCACUAUUUGUUGAAAAGGUGACUGGUAGAGUUCGUACUCAGAGCAGCGUGUUAUUAAGCUAUUUCGUCAGAAUGUGAGGUGAGUUUUCCUCACUAUACUUGUUGGGUCGAAGGCACCAAUGCCGACCCACUGGAUUAUGUAUCCUGCUAUAUAUGAUGUUGUUAUAUUGUAUUGGUCUGUAUAUUUGCUUGGUUAUCUGUGUGGUGGAUAUAGGAUUAUCUGUUAUGUAUAUGUUGACAUUGUAUGGUUGAGUUGAGGCAAUCCUACUUUGUACAUAAACCAACUAACCUGGGAGAAAGCAAGACAUAAUUUGUGGGCCUUAAAGGUAACCCAGACUUAUGUUGUGGGCUCGAGAGUAAGCCAGUCAUGAGAUGUGGGCCGGAAAGCAAGCAAUAUUCAUGUUGUGGACUCAAGGGUUAUAUAGUUUGUUAGUUGUGGACCCGGUAUGCACGUUGUUAUAUGUUGAUUUAUGAUCAUUACUUUUGGAACAAUGUUUUGUAAACAAUUAUAGUCUUUGGGUUGUCUUUGAAAAAAUGAAAAUUUUACUCUCAUUUUUGGGAUUUUACAUAGAAGUACGAAUAUUUGUUUUUAUGUCUGUAUAAGUGUAUACAUAUAUUUUUAGAAGUGCAAAUACAUACUUUUAUACUUUUUUUUAAAGUAUGAAUAUAUUAUAAAUACGUAUUUAGAAGUAUNNNNNNNNNNNNNNNNNNNNNNNNNNNNNNNNNNNNNNNNNNNNNNNNNNNNNNNNNNNNNNNNNNNNNNNNNNNNNNNNNNNNNNNNNNNNNNNNNNNNNNNNNNNNNNNNNNNNNNNNNNNNNNNNNNNNNNNNNNNNNNNNNNNNNNNNNNNNNNNUUUCUUCAAGUAUACAUAUAAUAAGAAAAAUAAUAUAUAUUUAGGGUAAAAGCAUAAAAAAAAUUAUAAACUUAAGGUUAAAUAUGUAAAAAAAAACUGCAAGUACGACUUCAAAACCUGACUAGCAUUCGGAAUGGAUAAACUUUGAACAAAUAAAAUCAGUCCAGGCUUGGCCAAGUGUUUAGGGUUGUCAUCACUAAAUCAUCAAGGGGCCCAUCAUCAAAUUCUCAGGGUAAAGGAAUGGAUAAACUUUGACUCAUAUUCUUGCUCUAUUUACUCAUCAAAUCACACACAACGAUACGUUUUAUAACACCAAGUUACUGGUGCGUUUACCCAUCAUCAAUGUGCAACCAACUUGAAAACUACAACUCAUAUAUCUCUGUUUCAAGAAUAUAAGAUAUUAUCAUCUCAUAAUCACUCAUGAUAAAAUCCAUAAAGUGAUUCAGAUGAGAGUGGGUUUAAUCCAAUACUCAAAUAUUUUUACAUGAGUACUCAUGAAUACUGCAACAAACUUGUGCUAUGUCUAACACUCAGACAAUCUACAGACGGAUUCAUGAUAGUCUUCCCUCAAUACCUACUUCCAAAGUAUGAUCGACUGUGGAUGGUUUGAAUAAUCUUAUCAUUCGGGAAGUCAAAACAUGCGAAAUUAAACACAAUAAUAAUCGAAUCCAAUAUGGUCUCAGAACUUUUGAAUAUAAAUAAAACACCUUUUAUUUAAUCACCAUAUCGAUUACACAUUAUUCAUUGUAUAAUGUUUUGACUGAUCAAAUUAAUACUUAAAUUAAAACAAUAGUCAUCCCAUGCUCCAAGCAUGCACACUAUAUUUACCUAUGGUCCUUACUUUGUGAAAUAGAUCAAUGGUAAACAUUUCCAAUGACACUCAUUUCACAAUUCCAAAUCCUUAUCGCAAGUGUAAGAAUACCAAGUCCUUGCCACUUACUGUAAUAUGUUAGAUUCUAAGCUUAUAUGAACUGAUCCUUUUGUAAUGACUAUAUACACAAUUAUAGAGGCUUUGCCAAUUACAAAACUUUCCGUUGGAGAUUGUUACAAAAAAAGUUCCAUAGAUACGAAGUCUCAUAUUCAAAGCACAUUCCUUUGAACAUCCUUCUUGUAUAAAAGUUUCUAACUUACUCAUAGAUUCUUGGUAUCCAACUCCUAUUAUGGAAACAUUUCCAUAUAUGCCAUAUAACAAUUCAUUAUAAAUAGCAUCAUGUCUAUUCAUAAUAAUGUCAACAUGGUCCAUCCAUUACUAUACUUCCAACUGCCCACAAGUGACCAACCCUUAGCGAAACUUGGAUUGUCCUUAACAAUUGUUAAAUAACUUUCAGACAUAUCCAAUUCUGGUCCCUUUUCCCUCUCAAUGCCCUAGGCAUUUGGAAAAUUAGAACAUGUGAAUAUUAUAGCUUAUGCAAUCUAUCCUAUACCCGAAGCAUAUGGAACAUGAUUCACAAUGACUUACAUAAAAACAUGAUACAUGACCAGUCUUUUGCUAUAAUAUUUCCAUAUAUAGAAUUUCCAAUGUUGAAAUAUUUCAACAUGGUAUUCAUAUAUCCAUGACCAAGUUUGAUUAAUACUUCAAUCUAAACUUUUAGAUUCGAAAUAAAGUAUAAGUAUCCUCACCCUUACUAUAGCGAAACAACUUUUCAAAUUAUUUUUCUUAACUUUGCAAAUUCUUAACCUUUGUUUCCCAUAACCAGUAUCGCUAACUUGCAACACUUCACAUAAUAAUCCUGCUCCGACUAUCAUGAUAAUUAUAUUCUUACUAGCAUAACACUUAUGCUCCCACUAGCUUUGACAUGUAUCCAAAAUCAGCUGGACUUCUAGAAAUGAAUACUUUAUUAACUUUCUUACCAAAGUUCAGAUUUAUGAUACGACAUGCUUCGAUAAGCCAUUAUCUAAGCUCAUACACUUUUUAUUAGAAAGGCCAUAUGUAUGUCUAAACUAUUUCAGAACUUACAACAAUAAGUUCCGAAUGUUCAAACUAUUUGCCAUUUCUCACAAUUCGAACUAUGAAGAUGGAUGUUCUAAUCUUAAUCGAAUUUGAGAACGCAAUUAACACAACUGCUAUCUCCUUAAAAUCUACUUAGUGAAAGUGUUUCCUCACAAUAAUUUUCAUGAAUUGAAGAGGGAACUUAUGUCACUUAGAUUUUAUGGUGUAUGUGUUCCUAUCCAUAUGAAUUUGUUAUUUCCAACCAUUAUCAUAGGAUAAGGUCACUGACAAACUCAACCUUAUAUGGACUGAACUUGUUCAAUCUUAAUUUCUUGCCACUUGGCAGCACAAGGGCCUACCAUGUCUUCCAUGUUGUUAAGCAGCUUACCCUUACUGAUUGAUGAACUUUCACUGAUCAAGGUUCUUUGCCUUAUGCGAAGCGUACUAAGCAAAGUCGCAUCCCGAUUGUGAAAGUACGGUGGAACGCGAAGCGUGGGCCAGAAUUCACAUGGGAACGCGAAGACCAAAUGAAGCAAAAGUACCCUCACCUAUUCUAGCAUUCUCAAAUCUAGCUUUCAAACAGAAUUUCAGGACGAAAUUCCCUCUAACGGGGGGAUGAUGUCACAACUAGAAUUUUUGUGUCUUGUAAUCACUACACUCAAGUAAAAUGUAGAAUCAAAAACUUAAGAGCAUGUAUGAUGCUUACUCUAUGACAACAAAAAUUUCAAUUCAAUACACCAUAUAAGUACUACAAAUAGUCAACAAACGAUUGGAAACCCUAGAAGUUCUUGUUUAGGUCCAUUUUGGACUAGGACUUUCUUAUUGGACUCAAUGGACCAAUAAGCUUCCAAUUUGACUAUCAUGGGCUUAGAACCUUUAAAUGGGCUCUAAUUGGACCCACUUUCAUUUAUUUCAACAUUUUGGGCCAUAUUGGGCCUAGAAUGGAAUAAAUUAAAUAUUAUGAACCAUUAUGAACCAUAAUUAACCAAAACUAGCCUAACAAAGUAUAAAAAUCACACUUAUAUUUUAUAGGACCAACAAUCAUUCAACUUAACUCUUAUAUGGGCUUAGGGGCAAUAAAGCCCAAAAAUCUCUUCUCCCCUCUCCAAUCUCGGCCCAAGCCCAAAGAAAAGGAAGAGUUGACCUUUGUUGCCACCUCACAAUUAUUCAAGGGUCUUCCAUGCAUCUUAUCCCAUAUAUCCAUGCAUACAUCACUUCAAGAUCUCUCUUCUUCUCCCUCUCUCUCAUUCUCGGCCGAACACACACACAUACACUCACAAAAAUUCANUUUUCAAAACAAUACUAGGGUUUUAGAAUUUAACAUUCCUAAAUUAAACUUUUAAUCAACUUUUAAAUUCCAAAACUUGAGGGCAAGUUUUGAAACAUUUCAAAACAUUAGGGUUUAGAAUUUAAAUAUUUCAAAAUCAAACUUUUCAAUCAAAAUUUAAAUUCCAAAACUUGAGGGCAAGUUUUGAAACCUUUUUCAAAACAUUAGGGUUUCAACUAUUUAAAUUCUAAACUUUUAAGUUCUAAUUUAAACUAUAAAACCUAAAGGGAUUAAUUUGAAACUUUUCCAAACUUUGUCAAGAAUAUUCUAGAUCACAUAAUUCAAAUAAGGCAAUUAACUAUAAUUGGUGGUUAUCUAAUUAGAUCUAGUUCAAAUUCUUGCAAGAUAAUGAUCAAAUAAUUUCCAUAACUUAACAUUUAUCAAAUAAGGUAACAAUUAUCUAAUUAGAUGACCAAAAUCUUUUAUUUUGACAAGGAUAAUCAUAAGGAAUCAAUAAAAUUUGAAUUUUAUUGAUUUUAAACAAUUAUGGCAAUUAUCCUAAGUCAAAAUAGACAAAAAUCCCGAACCAGCCUCCUUCUGACGCUUGAACUAGCCGAGUUCCUCUAUGGACUUGCCGAGUUGGAGCUACUCGCCGAGUCCACAUUGGAACUCGCCGAGUUCAUCAGACAGGGGGCCAAAAAAUCGAUUUUAUAGCUUGAACACACAAACAAGGCAUCAAUACAAUAGAAACCAAUCAAGGCUCUGAUACCACUGAUGGGUUUUGGUCAUAAGAACAUCCUAUGUGCUCAUACAAACCCUAAUGCUUGGAUCUAGGUUUCUCUAUUGUACAUGCAAUUUAUCCAAGACUAUAAACCCUAGAUCUAGCAUAUGAUAAUCAAUAUAACAUAUAAUUAGGGUUUAGAUCAUACCUUGAUUGUUAUGUAGCAAUAACAAUCCCAAAUCCUUCUUGUAUUGACUUUAGAAAGCUUAGAGUCACAAAUGUCACUCCUCUAAUGGUUCACAAACACCAAGAGCAAGAGGAUGAAGAGGAGAAGAGAAGGAGGCUGCCCAAAACAUGUGGAAACCCUAGAAGGAAGCUUGUCCACGUUGUUGGGGCAUAAGGGCUCUUUAAAUAGUGAGGCUAUUAGGGUUAUCUAACAAGGAAACCCUAAUUUGGAUGCUUAAGCCCUAAGCAACCCAUGGACUCCUUUCCUUAAAGGCCUUGGACGAUUUCUAAUGGGUUUCCCCAUAGAAUUCGUCCAACCUUAUAAUAUAAGGCAAUCCAUGGCCCAAUUGCAAUUAUCUUAUAAUUACAAUUCCAGUCCCUUAAGUUUAAUUAAUCUCUUUUAGUCACAAACUUAAUUCUUAUUAAUUCUUGACUAAUAUUAAUUAAACAAUAUGAUUUCUCCUUUAAUAUAUUAUUCUCAUAAUAUAUUAAUAAAUUAUAUUGAAUCCUUUCUCUCCAUAAUUCAUCCUAUUAAGUUGCUUUGGUGAAGGCAACCCAAAAUGACCAUGCACCAACAGGUCAAGUACAUACAAAAAUAGUUAUGGACUUAGACACUAAUCCAAUAGUUGUCGGGUGUGCCUCUGGAGAGGCAGGUAGAGUUCGGUAUUGAUUUGGUUCCGGGAGUUGCGCCUAUCGCCAAGGCACCUUAUCGCCUUGCGCCUUCGUAGAUGCAAGUGUUAUCCUCGCAGCUCCAGGAGCUGCUGGGGAAGGGGUUUAUCAGGCCGAGCAGUUCGCCAUGGAGGCGCCCAUUAUUUUUGUCAAAAAGAAGGACGGUUCGCACCGGAUGUGCAUUGAUUAUCGUGAGUUGAAUAAGCUAACGGUCAAGAACCGUUACCCAUUGCCGAGGAUCGAUGAUUUGUUCGAUCAGUUGCAGGGAGCAUCUUGGUUCUCCAAGAACGAUUUGAGGUCUGGGUAUCAUCAGUUGAGGGUGCGGGAGGAGGACGUCUCGAAGACAACAUUCCGGACUCGUUAUGGGCAUUACACCAACGCACCGACGGUGUUCAUGGAUCUCAUGAACAGGGUGUGCAGACCGAUGUUGGAUCGCUCGGUGAUCGUGUUCAUCGACGACAUUUUGGUGUAUUCGAGAUCUAGAGAGCAGCAUGAGGAGCAUUUGAGGGAGAUCCUCGGAGUUCUGAGAUCGAAGAGGCUUUAUGCCAAGUUCUCCAAAUGUGAGUUCUGGCUACGAGAGGUCUAGUUUUUGGGGCAUCUCAUUAACCAGAAAGGGAUAUUGGUCGAUCCGGCCAAGAUUGAGGCGGUUAUGAGGUGGGAGGUGCCGAGAUCACCCACCGAUAUCAGGAGUUUUCUGGGAUUGGACGGCUAUUAUCGGAGAUUUAUUAAGGAUUUCUUCAAGAUCGUCGUGCCACUCACCAAGUUGACCCGGAAGGGUGUUGCGUUUUCUUGGGGUCCGGAAGCAGACCUCGUUCGAGACACUUCGCCGGAAGUUAUGCGAAGCCCCAGUGUUAGCCCUUCCGGAAGGGAUGGAGGAUUUUGUGGUAUAUUGUGAUGCAUCGAUAUCCGGAUUGGGAGCGGUGCUUAUGCAGAGGGGGCACGUGAUAGCGUAUGCAUCGAGGCAGCUUAAGCCUCACGAUUCGAGAUAUCCCACUCAUGAUUUGGAGCUGGGAGCGGUAGUGUUCGCUCUCAAGAUCCGGCGACAUUAUCUGUAUGGGUGGGGUUCGGUGUACAAUAUAACGGACCACAAGAGCUUGAAGUAUCUGAUGGAUCAGCCCAACUUGAAUAUGCGCCAGAGGAGGUGGUGGGACGUGGUCAAGGAUUAUGAUUGUGAGAUCCUAUACCACUUGGGCAAGGCAAAUGUUGUAGCCGAUGCACUAAGCCAUAGGGCGGAGAGCGCCCCAAUGCGAGAUGUUUGUUUGAGAUUAACGGUGAUGACCCCAGUGUUGGAUGCUAUUCCUGGGGACCAGGCUGAGGCUGUGGAGCCCGAGAGCCAGAAAAGAGAGCGAGUUGUUGGGUUGGUAUCGGUGUUCGUUACCGAUAGUCGGGGGCUUAUGACAUUUUAGGGACGGAUUUGGGUACCAUCCGUGGGCGGCACACGUACAAUUUUGAUGGAGGAGGCUCAUCGAUCGAGAUUCUCGAUCCAUCCUGGGGCCACUAAGAUGUAUUUGGACCUGAAAAAGGAUUAUUGGUGGCCCUAUAUGAAGAGGAAUGCCGCAUGGUUUGUAGAGAGAUGCUUGACCUGUCGCAGAGUUAAGGCCGAGCAUCAGCGUCCACAUGGUAAGCUGCAGCCAUUAGAGAUUCCCGAGUGGAAAUGGGAACAGAUUACCAUGGACUUCAUCACCAAAUUGUCGAGGACUAUGAGGGGUGUCGAUGCAAUUUGGGUGAUUGUGGACAGGUUGGCAAAGAGUGCCCACUUCUUGGCCAUCAGUGAGAGCUCUUCCACGGAGAAGUUGGCUGAGAUGUACGUGAGAGAGGUGGUAUCGCGGCAUGGAGUGCCGAUCUCGAUUAUCUCAAAUCUAUAUGUACGUUUCACUUCCAGAUUCUGAAAGAAGUUAUGAGGAAUUGGGUACGAAACUGCAUUUUAGUACCGCAUAUCACCCACAGACCGACGGGCAGAGUGAGCGGACGAUUCAGACGCUCGAGGACAUGCUCCAAGCAUGUGUGUUGGAUUUCAGCGGGAGUUGGGAUACGUAUUUGCCCUUGGCGAAGUUCUUUUACAACAACAACCAUCGUUUGAGCAUUGGCAUGCCGCCCUUUGAGCUUUUGUAUGGGAGGAGGUGUCGGACCCCUAUUUGCUGGGGAGAGGUAGGGCAGCGUGUGAUGGGUACUAGCAAGAUUGUGCUUCAGACAACAGAGCAGAUCCAACAGGUCAGACAGAGGUUGUUGACCGCUCAGAGUCGUCAGAAGAGUUAUGCGGACAGACGCCGGUCCGAGUUCGAGUUUCGGGUCGGCGACUUCGUGCUCCUGAAGAUCUCUCCUUGGAAAGGAGUGAUCCGAUUCAGGAAGAGGGGCAAGUUGGGGCCCAUAUAUAUUGGUCCUUUCAGGGUGAUCGCGAGGGAAGGCAGGGUAGCCUAUCGUUUGGAGUUGCCGGCAGAGUUGGGUCAGAUUCAUGACACUUUCCACGUGUCGCAGUUGCGAAAGUGUAUAGCCGACGAGUCGGCAGUGGUGCCAUUAGAAGAUAUUCAGGUGGAUGCGAGCCUGAAUUAUGCUGAAAGAUCGGUGGCGAUCAGGGAUCGGAAGGUCAAGGUUUUGAGGAACAAGAAAGUGCCUCUGGUGCAGGUCCAGUGGCAACAUCGGAAAGGGUCAGAGUUGACAUGGGAACCAGAGCGUGAGAUGCGGGAGCAGCAUCCAGAGUUGUUUUCAGAGUGAGACUUCGAGGGCGAAGUUUGAUUCUAGUGGGGGAGAAUUGUAACAUCCGGGUUCCUAGGUAUUAUAUUUUGUUCUCUUAUUUUUGGAUAUUUUGAGGGGACUCGGCGAUAUGGCGUAUAAACUUGCCGAGUAUGGUCGCGGAUUCGUAUGCGAGUUCACAGCUGGACUCGGCGAGUCCACACUGUUUAAUGAAACCCUAAUUUCCAGGGUUUGAGACCUAUUUAAAGGGCCUUAUGGCUGUCAUUUGCGGCCACCAACCCCCAGAGAGAAACCCUAAAGAGAUCUAGAGCGUUUGUGAGGAAUGAGAGGCCAAUCUUGAACUUUUGUGGGUGUUUUUGCUAGAAGGAAGUGUUCAAGGCAAGAGGAGGCUGAAGGAGGUGCGGUUUUGGUGGUUUUUGAGCUCAUAGAGAUUGUAUUGAGGUAUUAUCCUCGGACCUUCUUCAGUUUUGAUGUUGAUCCUUUGUGUUAGGGUUUUCUAACCCUUUUUGAAGUGGAUUAAGUAGAGAAUUUGGUCCCUUCUCGAGUUUGUGCUCUGGAUCUGGACCCAAAGAGGUCCAGAGGCCUUAACACUUGGAGCUUUAUGAGUCCUUUUGGGAGCCAUGGGCUAGGAAUGUCAUUUUUGGGGCUAAAUCACCAUUUUGGACCAUUUAGAUGUGAUAUGUGUGUCAAGGUCUGAACUUUACAUGAUUAUCAUGCUUGGGGAGGCCAGAUCUAUGAUUUUAUGGAACGGAUCUGACCUCAAAAGUUGUUUUGAGUUUGUUCAUGGCAUGAAGUCGCCGAGUCCGAAGAACAGACUCGGCGAGUAGUAUGAAGGUUGUCAUUAAUCACUCAGUGAGUGGGCUUGUCGAGUUGGGGGAAUGACUCGGUGAGUCAGGGAGAGUUAGGAGGAUUGACCUCAAGUUGGAACUCACCGAGUUGUCUUGAGACUCGGCGAGUUGAGUCGGGGUGGCCCCGCGAUUCAUGCUAGGUGGAACUUGUCGAGUCAGGGAAGUACUCGACGUGCCAAGAGAGGGUCUAAGAGAGUCAGUGGACACGUGUAGACUCGCCGAGUCGCCCUAGAGCACUCGCCGAGUCGGGUCAAAGUUUGAACGUUGACCUUGUUGACUUUUAGGGUUGAGUACAGUUGUAUUUAUGAGAGUAUUACUUUAUGUGAUUAGGCGGAGGCUAGAUCACACCUCUCCCGAGUCAGAUAUUUACGGAGACAUCGAGGUGAGUCUUCUCAUUAUACGUUACCUAGAGUGGUACUAUGCGAUGACCAGAGCGUCUUAUGUGUUAUGUAUGAGAUUAUGUGCUAUGUGAUAUUUGUAUGUUGUAUGAUGAUAUAGACCGGACCAGAGGGUCCAACNNNNNNNNNNNNNNNNNNNNNNNNNNNNNNNNNNNNNNNNNNNNNNNNNNNNNNNNNNNNNNNNNNNNNNNNNNNNNNNNNNNNNNNNNNNNNNNNNNNNNNNNNNNNNNNNNNNNNNNNNNNNNNNNNNNNNNNNNNNNNNNNNNNNNNNNNNNNNNNNNNNNNNNNNNNNNNNNNNNNNNNNNNNNNNNNNNNNNNNNNNNNNNNNNNNNNNNNNNNNNNNNNNNNNNNNNNNNNNNNNNNNNNNNNNNNNNNNNNNNNNNNNNNNNNNNNNNNNNNNNNNNNNNNNNNNNNNNNNNNNNNNNNNNNNNNNNNNNNNNNNNNNNNNNNNNNNNNNNNNNNNNNNNNNNNNNNNNNNNNNNNNNNNNNNNNNNNNNNNNNNNNNNNNNNNNNNNNNNNNNNNNNNNNNNNNNNNNNNNNNNNNNNNNNNNNNNNNNNNNNNNNNNNNNNNNNNNNNNNNNNNNNNNNNNNNNNNNNNNNNNNNNNNNNNNNNNNNNNNNNNNNNNNNNNNNNNNNNNNNNNNNNNNNNNNNNNNNNNNNNNNNNNNNNNNNNNNNNNNNNNNNNNNNNNNNNNNNNNNNNNNNNNNNNNNNNNNNNNNNNNNNNNNNNNNNNNNNNNNNNNNNNNNNNNNNNNNNNNNNNNNNNNNNNNNNNNNNNNNNNNNNNNNNNNNNNNNNNNNNNNNNNNNNNNNNNNNNNNNNNNNNNNNNNNNNNNNNNNNNNNNNNNNNNNNNNNNNNNNNNNNNNNNNNNNNNNNNNNNNNNNNNNNNNNNNNNNNNNNNNNNNNNNNNNNNNNNNNNNNNNNNNNNNNNNNNNNNNNNNNNNNNNNNNNNNNNNNNNNNNNNNNNNNNNNNNNNNNNNNNNNNNNNNNNNNNNNNNNNNNNNNNNNNNNNNNNNNNNNNNNNNNNNNNNNNNNNNNNNNNNNNNNNNNNNNNNNNNNNNNNNNNNNNNNNNNNNNNNNNNNNNNNNNNNNNNNNNNNNNNNNNNNNNNNNNNNNNNNNNNNNNNNNNNNNNNNNNNNNNNNNNNNNNNNNNNNNNNNNNNNNNNNNNNNNNNNNNNNNNNNNNNNNNNNNNNNNNNNNNNNNNNNNNNNNNNNNNNNNNNNNNNNNNNNNNNNNNNNNNNNNGAGGAUUUAAGUGUCCUAUUAAACCCGUUCGGCUAACGACCCUCCACUGGUCAAGGGUGCGGUGAGUAAAAAUGGAUACCCGAUGGCGGUCAUUUUAUAGGACACUUCCUUAAACACCCCUUAUAGAUCAUCUUCGUGAAUGAGACCUACUAACGGCAAGACUGACUUUUUUUACUUAUACAUAUAUAAUAUAUUAAACUUUUAAUUUUAUACAAUAUAAUUGUGUAUUUUAAACAUCUAAAAUACUAGGUUGUUUAAUCUAUUAAUUAAACUAGAGGAUUUAAGUGUCCUAUUAAACCCGUUCGGCUAACGACCCUCCACUGGUCAAGGGUGCGGUGAGUAAAAAUGGAUACCCGAUGGCGGUCAUUUUAUAGGACACUUCCUUAAACACCCCUUAUAGAUCAUCUUCGUGAAUGAGACCUACUAACGGCAAGACUGACUUUUUUUACUUAUACAUAUAUAAUAUAUUAAACUUUUAAUUUUAUACAAUAUAAUUGUGUAUUUUAAACAUCUAAAAUACUAGGUGGUUUAAUCUAUUAAUUAAACUAGACUUUUAAUUUAAUUAAACUCAAACCAUAUAAUACUGUGGUGUUUUAUGUACAUACAACCCUAGGGGUAUUUUGGGUAUUUUGAACUAUAGACUGAGAUUUGGUCACUAUUUGUUGAAAAGGUGACUGGUAGAGUUCGUCGUCAGAGCAGCGUGUUAUUAAACUAUUUCGUCAGAAUGUGAGCUAAGUUUCCCUCAUUGUACUUGUUGGGUCGAAGGCACCAAUGUCGACCCACUGGAUUAUGUAUCCUGGUAUAUCGGAUUGUAACAUCCCAAUUUUCGAGUCCAAAAAAAACCAUUUUAAUUAACUGAGUAUAAAAGCAUUCAUAAGAAAACCACAUAGAAAUACAUCAUUUCGUAAAUCAACAUAUCAUGUCUGAAAACCCAAAUCAUAAUAUAGCAACAUGUCAGAGUACAAUCCCCUCAAGUGUGGAAAAUCAAUGCGUGUGUGUAUGAUGGCUGCUACCGCGCGAACUCUUUCCCCUUCGCUGAAGAGGUACCUGAAACCAAUACUGUAAACUGUAAGCACGAAGCUUAGUGAGUUCCCUCAUCGUACCACAUACCAUACAAUCACAUAGGAUACAUACCGUCGGGCAAUUCUGGGGUGCCCAACCUACCCGGUAUGGCCAUUUUGGGGUGCUGUCCUACCCAUGCGGCCAUUCUAGGGUGCCGUCCUACCCGUGUCAAGCCAUUCUAGGGUGCUGACCUACCCUUCGGUCCUAACAACUGAACCUCGGGGACUAUUCCCGUCCUACUACCGCUAUCUCAUAUAACAUAUCAUGCUAGCAAUUAAUCAUAUCAUAACAUAUUGUUAGGCAUAUCUGGGGAGCCUUACCUACCCUUCGGCCCUAACAACCGAACUCUACAACUAUCACAUAUAACAUAUCAUGCCAGCAUAUAACAUAUCAGGUAGUAGCAAACCUAGAUGAUAUCACAAACACAAUCAUCUAAUAUAAAACUCCUACUGGUGGGCCGACAUUGUGGCCAUAGACCCACUGCUACUGGAAGGUAACUCACCUCGUACGAGUAGCUGCUGAUAAUCUGUGCGGGAAAUCUCUGUCUGCUGCUGCUCCGGAAAUCCUCCGGCUAUAAUCCCCACAAAACACUUAGUCAGAGUCUGAUAUCUAUUCUUAGGGUAAAAUGAUCAUUUUACCCCUGACCAAGUCCAAGUAAAAGUUAAAGUCAACUUCCAGUUGACUUGACUUGCCGAGUUGGGCCGCCAACUCAUCGAGUCCCUAUUCCUUUAACUGUCCUCAUCCACGCCUCUACUCGUCGAGUCUAGAAAUCACUCGACGAGUUAUCCUUCUAUACGAACAUCGAAUGAACCUUCAUCCGACUCGCCGAGUUGUAUGAACAACUCAUCGAAUUCAUCCUUAUCCUAUGAACCAGUAUUGUCGUCGACUCGCCAAGUUGUAUGAACAACUCGUCGAGUUCAUCUUCAAGAGUUGGGAGAUUGCCUUGGACUCGCCGAGUCGGCCCAUGCACUCGCUGAGUCCUAUGAAUUCCAGGACUAUGGCUUAUCCCAAUACAUUUGGGUCACUCCCCUGGACCCUCUAAAACCUUUCCAGCACUCCACUGGGUCUCUCUGACCCAUAACAGAAAAGGGGAGUCUAACCUCGGACUCGCCGAGUCCCAAGAACGAUUCGCUAAGUUGAUAUUGUCCAAGUCUAUUUCUUCGAUUUUUGGUGUAAAACUCUUGUCCAAAUGAUAUAUCUAGGUCCCUAAACUCGAUCUAACACGUAAAGUUAUGAACUUUACGUGCAUGCAUGGGACUUUGAGCCAAAAAGGCUCUAAAAUAGACUCUUAAGCUACAUGGGGGCUUCCAUGGGUGCAAAAGCAGCCCUUUCCUACCUUGUAACUCCUUCAUGGACCUAGAUCUGAAGCCUCAACCCUCAACCAUGCUUGCAAUCAUGGUUGGUUACCAAGAAUGGCUUACAAAAGCCCUAAAUCUUCCCCAAAAACGGAUCUAGCAAAUGAACAAGCAAGGUAUCGACUUUAUACCUUUUGCGAACUGCAAAUGAUGCAUAAACUUGAACUCCCUUAGUCUUCUCUUGAUUCCUCUAGGCUCUUCCUUCUUCCUUGUGGUCAAAACCACCAAAAAUCACCGCAAAUGCCUUUAGAUCCUUACACACAUAGUUAGGGUUUGCUAUGGGGGUUUCUGGAAGCAAUAGGGAUGAACGGUGGCUGGAUGAGAUGCUUAAAUAGGGUGCAAACCCUUAGAUUAGGGUUUUGUCUAGUCAGAGUCUACUCGUCGAGUCUGGAAGCCGACUCGACGAGUCCUUCAUUUAAAUCCCACUUCAAAUCCGCUUCUACAUGACGAGUUGGGCCUUCAAAGCUUCGAGUCCAAAGCCAAAAAUGUAAAAUAAUUAAAUAGAAUACAUACCAAGAACCAGGUGCUAAGAAUCUUCCCCAUUUAUUUUAGACUUCGUCCUCGAAGUCUGCUGCUCGUUCCUGGAAAUGUUCGGGUUAAUGAUCCAUCGUCUCAUCCACCGGCUCCCAAGUCCAUUCUGAGCCCUUCCGGUGCUGCCAUUGCACCUUCACUAACUCAACCCUCUUGUUCCUCAGAUCCUUCGAUUUCCGGUCAAGGAUCGCCAUAGGCCGCCCAAUGUAAUUCAGGCUAUCAUCGAUCUGAAUAUCCUCUAAAGGUACCACUGCCAAAUCGUCCACUAAACAUUUCCAUAACUGGGAGACAUGAAAAGUGCUAUGAAUCUGACUGAGUUCGGAUGGUAGCUCCAGCCUAUAUGCCACUUUCCCUACCCAGGAUAUAAACCUGAAGGGUCAGAUAUACCUUGGACCCAACUUGCCCCGUUUCAUAAAUCGCACGACGCCCUUCCAUGGCGACACCUUCAGGAGAACCAUAUCCCCGACCUGGAACUCUAGGUCUGAUCGGCGCUUGUCGGCAUAACUUUUCUGCCGACUCUGAGUAGUCUGAAGCCUGAUCCGGAUCAGAUGAAUCUUCUAUGUCGUCUUGAGCACCACUUCGGUGCUCCCCAUGACCCUCUGGCUAACCUCACCCCAACAUAUCAGGGUCCUGAAUUUCCUCUCGUAUAACAUCUCGAAGGGAGGAUGAUCAAUACUCGCGUGGUAGCUGUUGUUAUAUGAGAACUCCGCCAAUGGGAGGUAAGUAUCCCAACUACCACCAAAGUCUAACACACACGCCCACAACAUAUCCUCCAGAGUCUGGAUGGUCUGCUCACUCUGACCAUCUGUCUGCGGGUGAAAUGCAGUGCUAAAGUGCAGACGAGUACCGAACUCGUCACGGAAUUUCUUCCAGAACCUGGAAGUGAACCGCUCAUCCCUGUCUGAAAUCACGGAGACUGGCACUCAUGUCGAGCCNCUGGCACUCCAUGUCGAGCCACCACCUCUUGAAUGUAGAUGUUGGCCAACUUCUCGGCCAAGAUACUCUCUUGGAUCGGUAUGAAAUGGGCACUCUUGGUCAACCAAUCCACGAUGACCCAUAUGGAAUCCACUGCUUGCCCGGUCCUGGGAAGUUUGGUGAUGAAGUCAAUGGUAAUAUAUUCCCACUUCUACAGGGGAAUAUCCAACAGUUGCAUCUGAGGGGUUUUGAGCAUUCUAACACUUCCUAAGUGUACAUGCAACCCUAAUAACCUUGGAUCUAUGUUUGUCUAAUUAUCAUGCAAAGUUGAAUUCCAAGGUUAUAUUCCUAUCUAGCAUACAUGGGGAACAAUUUUAACUUGAAUCAUAGAUAGAAUAACUUACCUUGUUGUUGCUUGUGUUCCUUGAAACCUUGUGAGCCUAGCACCCCAAGUGUGAUGCCUCAAAUGCUUCACACAACACCAAAUGCUCUUGGAAAGACUCUUGAGAUAACACACACUUCUCAAAAUCGGCCAAGCCCUCUAGUUUCUUAGUGUAGCCGAUUUUGGUGGAGAAUAUGAUUCUUAUAUAGUGUUGACACAUCUAGGGUUACACCAUGUAAACCCUAAUGUGUCAUGACUCUUCAUUUCCAUGACCCAUGGGUUUGUAACUCCCAUGGAGCAUCCAUGGAGCAUCCUAUGGGUAGAACCCAACUUGAUAAUCCAUGGAGCCUCUUAGCCCACUAUACAAGAUAUGGAUGAUUUACAUAAUCAACCCAUAUAUUUAAUUAGUUAUCCUUUGAUCACUUAAUUAAUUCCAAAUUAAUUCUUUGAUCAACUAAUCAAAUAAUAUUAUUAAUAUAUUAGAACUUAUAAUAUAUUAAUAAUCUCCAAGUGUUAUUUCUCUCAUUUAGUCUAUCCAAUUGCAUGGUGCCAUGCAACCCAAAUGGACCAUGCCGGGUCGGGUCAAGUACAAGCCCGAAAUAGUUAUGGACUUAGACACCUUAUCCAACAGUCUCCCACUUGGAUAAGUCUAAUAACUAUAUCUCUAGUACUUCAGGAACCGACCGGCAAUCGUAGCUCUUUCAAGGUCUCUCGGAACUGAGAAGAUGAUGGUACGCCAUUUAAGAUAAGUGAUCAUAUAAUCCUCCGUUCUAGAUAUCAGCCGGACAAAUACAUGGAACAUUGUCUUGCUUAUUGUCCAGCAUUUGUUUCCCGAUUUCCGAUUUGUUUGACAUAGAACUUAAUUGAACACAUCAACUUAGUUCUGACCGGGCCCGGUACAUGGGUCAAAACAAAAUCAUCGAGGGGCCCAGAUAUCAGCUUCUAAUCCAAGAAGGAACAGAUAAACUUCGACUCAUAUGUUUGUUCUACCACUCAUUGAAUUACACACAAAAGUACGUUUUAUAACAUCGAGUUACCAAUGCGGUUUCGUACAGUCAAUGCAUAACCAACUUGUAAGUAACAAAUCAUAUCUCUAGGUUUGAAGACUUAUAUGAUAUUACCGUCUCACGAUCACUCGAGAUAGAAUUCCAUGAAGUGAUUCCAGUGAGCGUGGGUUGAGUCCAAUGCUCAGAACUUAUGAGCACUCAUGAUUGUUGUAGCCUUGUCCAACACCUUAGACCUCUACAACCCAUCAUGACAGUCUUGAUUCAUACCUACUUCCGACAUAUGACCGACUGUGGAGGUUUGAAUAAUAUGUUACACCAAACAAAAUUAUUCUGGAAGUCAAAACAUGCAAAAGAAAUAUAGUAAACGAUUGACAAGAGAUAGCAACACUUUACUCAUAAAUAAAACACCUUUUAUUCAUCAUCAAAUGUCAAUUACACUUUACAAAUUUCUGGGUUAUCUAACUACUAAAACUUAUAUCAUCCUUCAGCCCUAUGCUCCGAGCAUGCUGGAGAUGCUUAACCCUACUCAGUCCCUUCGUGAGGGGAUCUGCUGGGUUCUCAUCCGAUGAUACCCUCUUUGCCACGAGGAGUCCUUCUUCGAUCCGAUGUCUAAUGAAAUGGUAUUUUCUGUCGAUGUGUCUGGAUCUCCCAUGAUCCCUUGGUUCCUUGGCUAAGGCAACAGCACUUUCACUAUCACAGAAAAUUUCCAUUGGCUCUUUAAUAGCUGGUACAACUCCAAGGUCUCCAAUGAAGUUCUUCAGCCAUAUCGCCUCCUUUGCUGCUUCGCUAGCUGCAAUAUACUCUGAUUCACAAGUAGAAUCUGCCACUGUCUCUUGCUUGGAACUCUUCCAAGAAAUUGCUCCUCCGUUUAGGGUAAAGACCCAGCCCGACUGAGAGCGGAAAUUAUCCCUAUCAGUCUGGAAGCUAGCAUCACUAUACCCUACAACUCUCAAGUCAUCACUCCCACCGAGGGUAAGGACCCAGUCCUUAGUCCUCCGUAGGUACUUGAGGAUAUUCUUUACCGCAGUCCAGUGUGCCUUGCCAGGGUUCGCCUGAUACCUGCUAACCAUGCUCAAGGCAAAAGCUACAUCGGGUCGAGUACACGUCAUAGCAUACAUGAUCGAUCCUACAGCCGAAGCGUAAGGUGUUCGACUCAUUUCUGCUAUCUCAGCCUCAGUGCUAGGGCUUUGUGUCUUACUCAAUCUGGUGUUACUCUGGAUGGGUAACUCUCCUUUCUUGGAAUCCUGCAUGCUGAAUCUCUUCAGCACCUUAUCCAAGUAGGUACUCUGACUAAGUCCAAUUAGUCUUUUACUCCGAUCUCUCAAGAUUCUUAUCCCUAGAAUAUAGGCAGCUUCACCAAGGUCCUUCAUAGCGAAACACUUCCCAAGCCAGGACUUUACUUCCUGCAGGGUUGGAAUGUCGUUUCCUAUGAGUAGUAUGUCAUCCACAUACAAUACCAAAAAGCUAACUAUACUCCCACUAGCCUUGACAUACACACAAGAUUCAUCUUCACUCCUAGAAAAGCCAAAUUCCUUGACCUUUUCAUCAAAGCAAAGAUUCCAUCUGCGAGGUGCUUGCUUCAAUCCAUAAAUGGAUUUCUCAAGCUUACACACUCUAUUAGGGUACUCGUUGCUGACAAAACCCUCUGGCUGACUCAUGUAAACAUCUUCAGCCAACUUUCCAUUAAGGAAAGCGGUUUUGACAUCCAUCUGCCAUAUUUCAUAGUCAUGAAAUGCAGCUAUGGCUAACAGAACCCGAAUAGACUUAAUCUUGGCUACCGGAGAAAAGGUCUCAUCAUAAUCCACUCCAGGAAUUUGAGAGAAGCCCUUUGCAACCAGUCUAGCCUUAUAAGUGUGUACUUUACCAUCCAUGUCGGUCUUCUUCUUGAAGACCCAUUUGCACCCUACUGUCUUACGACCUGGUACAUUUUCAACCAAGUUCCAAACUUGAUUGUCAUACAUGGAUUGUAUCUCGCUAUCCAUAGCCUCUUUCCAUUUAGCAGACUCGGGGCCUGCCAUGGCUUCCUCGUAGCUGUUAGGGUCAUCUUGACUUACUAGUGUCUCAUCACUAAUAAGUGUCUCACCUUCUGCAGUAAUAUGGAAUCCAUAGUAAUGCUCAGGUGCACUCCUAACUCUCGUGGAACGUCUCAGAGGUACAGAUUUGUCAAUUGGCUCAACAGGAGUUUCCUCCUCAAGUUGAGGGCUAGAGUUUGAAGUUCCUUCACCGCUUGAUUCUUGAAUUUCUUCAAGAUCAAUUUGCCUCCCACUGUCUCCUUGGCUUAUAAACUCUCUUUCUCGAAAGACUCCUCUUCUUGCUACAAAGACCACAUUGUCACUAGGUCUGUAGAAGAGGUAACCAAAGGAUCGCUGUGGGUAACCGAUGAAAAUACACCUCUCGCUUCGAGGUUCGAGCUUAUCAUGAGUCUCGCGUCUCACGAAAGCCUCGCAACCCCAAAUCUUGAUGUGGUCUAGUUUAGGUACUUUACCAGUCCACAUCUCGUGAGGAGUUUUGGCAACUUUCUUUGUAGGGACUAGAUUAAGAAUAUGGGCGGCAGUCUCUAAGGCAUACCCCCAGAAUGAGAUUGGUAGCGUAGCUCGACUCAUCAUGGAACGAACCAUAUCUAACAAGGUUCGAUUACGCCUCUCAGCCACACCAUUCAACUGUGGUGUCCUGGGAGGUGUCAAUUGUGAGACUAUCCCACAUUCCCUUAGAUAGUCGAGGAACUCUGAACUAAGAUACUCACCACCACGAUCGGAUCGAAGCAUCUUAAUGUUCCUGCCCAAUUGAUUCUCGACUUCCUGUUUAAAUUCCUUAAACCUCUCGAAAGUCUCUGACUUAUGCUUGAUCAAGUAGACAUAUCCAUAUCUACUAUAAUCAUCAGUAAAAGUCAAAUAAUAACGAUUAGCAUCCCUUGUGGCAUGUUUGAAUGGUCCACACACAUCCGUGUGUAUAAGGUCCAACAAACCUUCACCCCUCUCACACGAACCUGUGAAGGGUGACUUUGUCAUUUUUCCAAGUAAGCAUGAUUCGCAACUAUCAUCUGACUUUAGGUCAAACGACUCCAAGACUCCAUCCUUUUGGAGUUGGCCUAUGCGUUUCUUGCUUAUAUGUCCAAGACGACAAUGCCAUAAAGAUGCUUUAUCCAAGUUAUUAUUAGUAGAAUCAAUACACAAAACAUUAUUUCCCAAGUUAUCUACAACAGAUACAGCUUCAUACACACCAUCACAAGGUAAUGCUUUAAAAUAAAAGACAUUAUUAUAGAAAACAUCUAUAGAACCAACUUCAUUAUUAAAUGAAAAGGUAAACCCUUGUUUGUACAAAGCAUGAAAGGAAAUAAUAUUUCUUGCCAUUCCUGGCGAAUAACAACACUUAUUCAAAUCUAAACUAAACCCACUACUUAGCGAUAAAGUAUAAACUCCAAUCUUGGUAACAGGUAUAGCUUUCCUAUUCCCCAUGAUCAAGUUUAUCCUUCCUUGCUCCACAUCCUCACUUCUUCUUAGUCCCUGCAAGUCACAACAAAUGUGAAUACCACACCCGGUAUCAAGGACCCAAGAAUUAGAAUGGGGUGAGUUAUUAGAAAUGAUAGUGUAAAUACCUGCAUGGUUGGGUUUAACUUUCCCAUCCUUCACAUCUUGCUGGUAUUUUGGGCAGUUCCGCUUCCAAUGAGCUUUUUCAUGGCAAUAGAAGCAUUCAGCCUCUUUUGGGUCAGAAGAAGGAGUAAUGAAACCUUUCUUGGUUCCACUUGAAGAAGAGCCAUCAAGGGUCCGAACCUUGGUACCCUUAGAAGAGCUCUUUCUCUUCCUCCCUCGACUUUUCCCGAUUGCCAAAACCGGAGUAGAGUUUUGAGUAGGAGUGAUAGCAACCGACUUCCCCUUAAGACCUGAUUCUGCGGUCUUGAGAAGUCCCUGAAGUUUGCUGAGGGUGACUUCUUCCUUGUUCAUGUGAUAUGUCAUGCGGAAUUGAUCAUAGCACGAUGGUAAGGAAUGCAAAAUAAUAUCUAUUGCAAGAUCCUCCGGGAAGUUCACAUUAAGCUUCAGCAAACGAUCCACAUACCUUUGCAUUUUCUGCAUGUGGCUCGUGACGGAUUCCCCGUCCUUCAUCAUGGUUGUUAUCAUGGAGCAGAUGAUUUCAUACCUCUCUUGUCUUGCACUUUGAUGGUAUCUUUCCAUCAAAUCUUGGUGCAUUUCAUAAGGGUAGAAAUCCUCAUAAGACUUUUGGAGUUCCGCUGUCAUCGUGGCCAUCAUGAUGCAAGCCACUUUCGUAGCAUCCCUUUCAUGUGCCCGAAAUUCAGCGAUCUCCUGAGGAGUUGCAGUGGACUCAUCAAUCUCCUUAAGCUCCUUGUCAAGGACAUAUUCUUUGUCCUCGUAGCGGGUAAUCAUCCUGAUGUUUCUGAUCCACUCAUUGAAGUUGGAUCCAUCAAAGGUGACUUUCCCACACAAGUUCAUAAGGGUAAAGGAGCCAUUAGGAUUAGAGCCAGAAGCAUUGUUGAAAGACAUCUGAAGGAAAGAGGACAAGAUUAGUUUAGAUAUAAGAGAGUCCUUAAUAAAACACCCAAAUGUAAUAUUAAGGCUAGGAUCCAAUCACAAUAUAAUAUAACUUAGAAGAGGUAUGCCGUAAUCUAAGCUAUAUCAUAUUUGAAAGGUAGGUGAAUGACGAUUCACCAAUUUCCACCACGAAAACCGCAAUAUUUUAGUAUUAGGUUUUUGAAUGGUUCUUAGAAAUUCCUAGAUUCUUUGAGAUUCAAUGAACUUUUCAAAGGCAUGUUUCAAUCUCGAGUGUGCCCUCCAAGUUUUGUGACUGGGAUACCGAGGAUCACAAAACGAGGUGUGAAGUAACCAUGCAAAUCACUUGGUACCCUUAAAGUUUAUCACUCAAUCGAUGUGCCGGUUAACCACACACGCUCCAUCGAUACUAUAAUAAACCCUAAGUCACCCUUUACCUACCUUGUUAAGUCCAAGUUAGUGUGCCGGUUAACCACACACGCUCCACCAACGACUUAAUCAAAGUGUAAAGUGUAAUUUCAUGGAAUAGCACCUUAUUCACAUUUUUCCUAAAGUAACUAAGAUUGGGAAUUUAAUAAAACAUUUAGUUACUUUAUAAUAUUCAUCAUACUUUGAAUGAGAAUUAAUAAGUCCUUGUCUUACCCGUUCGGCUAACGACCCUCCACCGAUCAAGCAAGCGGUGGGUGAGAGUGGACACCCAUUAAGUCACCAUUUUAUAGGCAACAACCUUAUACCCACCUUAUAGACCGGCUUCGUGAAUGAGGCGUACUAGCGGUAAGACGACUUUGUUCUUAUACAUAUAUAUAUAAUUAUUAAAUCAUAAUAAUAUAAGUAUAAGGGUUGAAUUUUAACUUUUAAAAUUCUAGGGGUUGGAACUAAAGUUUUAACUUAACUUUACUUGUUCCAAAACUUGAGGGCAAGUUUUGUAAACUUUCAAAACUUUUCAUUUCUUGUAACUUAUGAGUUUAAUAGAGUAAUAAAAUGAGGACUUUUCAUUUUUCCUAACUCUUGUGUUCUUUUAAUGUUUUUUAAUCCAAGAGACUUUUGGUUUUCCAUAACUUGAGGACAAGUUAUGGACUCCAUUAAAACACAUUAUGAUCAUGAAUUAAUCUACCACAUAGGUUACAAAUAAUUCCUAUGAUCAUCUAAACAUCAUAAGAACAAGAAUAUGAAUAUGAACACUUUCAAGAAUCAAAAUCACAUUUAAUCUUUGUAAUUUUGAUAACUAGUUGUUGUAAAUGAGUUAGAAAAGACAUUACACCUUCUAAAAUAAGUUUUCAAGUACCAAAACAUUUUAGGGUAAUGAUUCUAAUCCAUUUCCAGCAACACAAGUCGAAAUUCUGCACUCUGUCGACCCUACUCGCCGAGUGCAUAAACCUACUCGCCGAGUAGGUUGAAGAUACACAUGAACUCGUCGAGUCCUCCCCAUGGACUCGCCGAGUCCAUCAGUCAGACAGCAAGAUUUUCGACUUUCUUCAACUUUUAAGCACAAAUAACAAACAAACAAGCCUAGGCUCUGAUACCACUGAUGGGUUUUGAGCAUUCUAACACUUCCUAAGUGUACAUGCAACCCUAAUAACCUUGGAUCUAUGUUUGUCUAAUUAUCAUGCAAAGUUGAAUUCCAAGGUUAUAUUCCUAUCUAGCAUACAUGGGGAACAAUUUUAACUUGAAUCAUAGAUAGAAUAACUUACCUUGUUGUUGCUUGUGUUCCUUGAAACCUUGUGAGCCUAGCACCCCAAGUGUGAUGCCUCAAAUGCUUCACACAACACCAAAUGCUCUUGGAAAGACUCUUGAGAUAACACACACUUCUCAAAAUCGGCCAAGCCCUCUAGUUUCUUAGUAGUGCCGAUUUUGGUGGAGAAUAUGCUUCUUAUAUAGUGUUGACACAUCUAGGGUUACACCAUGUAAACCCUAAUGUGUCAUGACUCUUCAUUUCCAUGACCCAUGGGUUUGUAACUCCCAUGGAGCAUCCAUGGAGUAUCCUAUGGGUAGAGCCCAACUUGAUAAUCCAUGGAGCCUCUUAGCCCACUAUACAAGAUAUGGAUGAUUUACAUAAUCAACCCAUAUAUUUAAUUAGUUAUCCUUUGAUCACUUAAUUAAUUCCAAAUUAAUUCUUUGAUCAACUAAUCAAAUAAUAUUAUUAAUAUAUUAGAACUUAUAAUAUAUUAAUAAUCUCCAAGUGUUAUUUCUCUCAUUUAGUCUAUCUAAUUGCAUGGUGCCAUGCAACCCAAAUGGACCAUGCCGGGUCGGGUCAAGUACAAGCCCGAAAUAGUUAUGGACUUAGACACCUUAUCCAACAGCAUCUUGCCGUGUGGCCUCUGGUGCUCGGCCUGGACCUUCCUGUAGGUCAAGCAUCACUCCACAUACCAUGCUACAUCCCGCUUCAUGUAGGGCCACCAAUAGUCAAGAUUAAUAUCCCUAUACAUCUUCGUCGCCCCAGGAUGGAUAGAAAACCUGGAUUUGUGCGCCUCCUCCAUCAAUUUCUGACGCCCACCUCCAUGAUAGGGGACCCACACCCUACGGUAGAGGGUCAACAGCCCUCGGCUAUCAUAGUCGAAGGAGGAAACCUGACCCACAAUACGCUCACUCUUCUAAUGUUCGUCCUUCACAGCCUCCUCCAAGACCUCUCGGAUCUGCUCCAACAACGAAGUCACCACGGUCAUCCGCAUACAGACAUCCCUGAUCAGCGUUGCCUUGUGGCAAAGUGCGUCGGCGACCACAUUGGCCUUCCCCGGGUGGUAAAGGAUAUCGCAAUCAUAAUCCUUCACCACAUCCAACCACCGCUGCGGCCUCAUGUUCUGAUUCAGCUGAUCCAUGAGGUACCUCAAAAUCUUGUGGUCCGUGUAAAUGGUACAACGGACCCCAUAAAGGUAAUGAAGCCAAAUAUUGAGGGCGAACACAACAACCCCCAACUCCAAAUCAUGUGUCGGAUAGUUCGCCUCAUAAGGCCUCAGCUGCCUCGAAGUGUAGGUGAUGACAUGCCCUCUCUGCAUCAAUACCGCGCCCAAACCCGAAAUAGACGCGUCGUUGUACACAACAAAAUCCUCUACGCCCUCUAGCAGGGCUAAGAUCGACUCCUCGCACAAUCUCUGUCUCAGUGUCUCAAACAUUGCAUGUUGCUCAGGCCCACAACGAGAGACUACGACCUUCUUCGUCAGCCGCGUCAAUGGUACGACUAUCUUGGAAAAAUUCUGGAUGAAUCUCCAAUAGUAUCCGGCUAAUCCCAGGAAACUCCGAAUCUCAGAUGGAAACUUCGGAACCUCCCAUCUCAUCACAACCUCCACCUUGGUCGGGUCGACCAGAAUGCCAUUCUGGUUGACUAGGUGCCCAAGAAACUGCACCUCGCGCAACCAGAACUCACACUAGGAGAACUUGGCGUACAAGCUCUCCCUCCUCAGGGUAUCCAAAACCUCUCAUAGAUGCUCCUCAUGCUGCUCCUGCGUGUUGGAGUAAACCAAAAUGUCAUCAAUGAAAACUAUCACAGACCGAUCUAACAUCGGUCUGCACAUGCGGUUCAUGAGAUCCAUGAACAUGACAGGAGAAUUGGUGAGCCCGAAAGGCAUCACCACAAACUCAUAGUGGCCAUAGCACGUCCAGAACGCAAUCUUCUACGCAUCCUCCCCUCUAACCCUCAUGUGAUGAUAUCCUGAACGCAAAUCAAUCUUGGAUAACCAAGAUGAUCCCUGUAGCUGGUCAGAGAGGUCAUCAAUCCUCGGGAGUGGGUAACGGUUCUUCACCGUUACCUUAUUCAGCUCCCGGUAAUCUAUACACAUCCGAUGCGACCCGUCCUUCUUCUUCACAAAUAGAAUCGGGGCUCCCCAUGGUGAACUGCUUGGUCUGAUGAAUCCCUUGUCUAACAGCUCCUGCAACUGUGUAGACAACUCCUGCAUCUCAAGAGGAGCCAACCGAUAUGGUGCCUUGGCUAUCGGAGCCGCACCAGGGACGAGGUUGAUCCUAAACUCCACCUGCCUCUCCGGAGGUAUCCCAGACAACUCCUCGGGGAAUACAUCCGCAAACUCUCGCACUACUGGCACAUCCCCCACCGUCGUCGUACCCGUCUCUCGGGUAUCCGUAACAUAGGAGACAAAUCCUGCGCAACACUGCUAAAGGUAGCGCCUCACUCUCGCUGUUGAACAUAAGGCUGGUCCAUGAUGUGGCCUCUCGCCCUGGAUCACCAAGCCCCCCCCCCCUUGGGGUCCUGAUCCACACCAACUGUUGCGCGCAAUCGAUCACUGCCCCAUUGGGGCUUAGCCAAUCCAUACCAAUAAUAACCUUGUUCCCCUUCAACGGUAUAGGUACCGAAUCCACUAGAUAACGCUCUUCGAACAAUCUGAAAACACAGUCCCGGAAGACCUCUGAUGCUUGCACAUACCGGUCAUCCGCAAUCUCGACCUCUAGAGGGCAAUCCAACAUGCCCGAAGACUCAGGAAACUUCUUGCUAAGCGCAAGAGAAACAAAUGAUCGGGUAAACAAAUGAUCGGGUAGCGCCCGAAUCAUACAACACCUGAACCGGUAUACCGUUCACAUGGAACGAUCCUAAACAUACAUAUAUACGAGCAUAUAUCAACAUCAAGACAUCAUAAAAAUAAAUCAGAGGGGAAGAAUCAUACCUGUCAUCAGAUUGGGUGCGGCACGUGCCUCCUCGGUAGUCAACUAGAAAGCCUGACUCCUCACCACCGGAGCCUCUUCCUUAACCUGCCGGCCAUCAGUAAUCCGCAGGGUCGCUGGGGCUAGCGCUGUAACGACGUGAAAAUUUAAAACAAAAUUUUUCAUUUUUAAAAUGCAUACUUUUGAUAACACUUUGUAAAACAAUCUCGUUUGUUCACUUUAAAAAAACACAACUCCAUAUUUGAAUAAUUAAUAAUCUGGGAUCCUCAAAGCAUAACUCUUCCUCUGGUGUGUACAAUCAAGUCGGUGCCGUCCCACUAACGUGAAAACCUGAAACACAUAACCCAUAACACUAUAAGCACGAAGCUUAGUGAGUUCCCCAAAAUACCUCAUACAACACAUACGCCACUCGAGGCUACAGUACGACCCUUCGGUCGAUGUGCCUCAGCGGGAGCCUGCAGUCCCGUAGCUCGUUGGACCCUCAGGUCCGGUCAUAGCUCGUCGGACCCUUCGGUCUAUUCUGUGUCGUUGGACCCUUCGCUCCGGUCUAUAUCGUUGGGCCCUCCGGCCCGGUCUAUUCAACACAUAGAAUACAUAUAAAACAAUGCACAUAAUCUCAUACAUACACAUAGCAUACAAGACCCUCCGAUCUACACAUAAAUACCACUCUAUGUAAUGUAUAGUGAGAAGACUCACCUCGGGUAAAGAACAACUCCUAUAAACACUGCUGCUACGCACCGGCCUCUAACCCUGUGCCAAACCCACAAUUAUCUCAAUUAGGAGCUAAGUCCAACCUCUCACUUAUUGGGUCUAAUGAUAGACCACCCACCAGCCCAUUAAUGCCCUAAGCCCAUUAGGCCCACCAAGGACGAAUAACAAAUGGGCCCUCACACGGCCCAAAACCCAAACUAAGAGGCAAGACCAAACCAAGGGCCCAAAGCACAUAUAUCCACUUCUUUAGUCCAAGACUCUAUUGCAUGAAGUCCAAACUCCAUGCCCAACACUCAAGGCCCUACACAACACUUAGCCCAAAAACCCCUAGAAGGAGUUACACGGGGCGUACCCCCUUGGUACGCUCAGCGUACCCAACGUGCAUGGAGCUGAUCGGGGACCUCAACCCACUACGCUAGGCGUUCUGAGGCUUACGCCCAGCGUAAGUUCCAGACUCAUCCUUUUGAUAAUUUUGGUCUGAAUAGGUUAAGACACGGGCUUAUAUCACAGAUCUAGGCUCUCUACUGCCUCUUAAGCCAUAAAGUCGGAACCUUUAAGCCUUUGCAUGGCUAUAAAGACCACCAACCUCUCCAAACUCUUAACUUCUUUCCUCAUUAAGUCCUUAACUCAAGCUUGACUUAAUAUUUACGACCAAGACUGGAUUUUUACGAAAUUACAAUUCAUGAUGCACUGAAAUAAGGCAGAUUCUAGCUUAUGGAGGCCAUUUGCUCGUAAAACCUCCAUCUUAGGACCAAAAACCCUAAAAGUUGGUUCAUCAAGCACAACACAAACAUGAAAAGGAAAUCUCUGAGCUUUUUACCUCUAAGAGAAGCUCCACCCUCUGAAGAACUCAUAUCCAAACUUGUACUCCAACUUCUAGCCUCCACAAAGACCUCAUCUUCUUCUUCACCAUCACAAAAGGCUCUUUCUAGCUCAAAACACUCACACAAAACUUUAGAACGAUGAUGAUGCUCUCUUAGGGUUUCUCACUGUGAAAUGGUGGUUCAGGAUAAGUCCAUAACAUUCCUUAUAUAGUGCACAAGUCUUAUUUAGGGUUUUGCAUCUUGGCCGACUACGCCCAGUGUAAUCUUUGGUACACCCAGCGUACCCAGCAGCGUCUGCGUCCAAAACCAUCCCACGAGUAUGCGCAAUGUACUCCUCAGUACGCCCGGCGUACUCGCCUGCCGCACUAUUCUUUUAUGGACUAAACUUGACAACUUGGAGAAGAAGAAGACCUAAAUAGAUACUUCAAAAUUCCCGGAUGUUACAAUUCUCCCCCUCUUGAAUUAGAUUUCGCCCCCGAAAUUGCUCCUUACAAACAAAUAUCGAACCCAACUAACCAAGAAGCACCACCGAAGGUCCUCACAUCGUAUGACAAUCACUUUCAAAGAUACUCGAUCCCACCAAGGACUCCUAACCCGAAAGGGGCAGACCUAACUGCCGCUGCGGUACUCAAUCCGAAUCUUCAGAACUUGAAAACUCUUGUGGUCUACCUCCUUGCCAGAGCACCCUCGAAACAUCACCCUAUUAAUCUUCCACCGACUAACAGACCCUAAUAACACUCUACCAACCCUGAUUCCCUAAUCGAUCCUGAUCGCAAACUCAAAAAGAACAAAAAGGUCAUAGCCUCCUUAUUUCUUCAGGUCUUACUGCAAGAACCAUCGUCAGGAUUCAUCAGAGAGAAUGAACCCCAAACUCCAAUCUCGAGCACCAGAAGGUGAUCAUGCUUGCCUGGAAAUAUCCUCUGACCUCUAAAAACCCAAUAGAUGAACCUCAAGUUCACCCAUUCCAUAACCAGAAGGCCUCAUCGAUUUCCUAUCUUAUAACAACUAUCUCAACUCUUAGUGAUGCACAAGUCACGCCGGUCGCUUUCCCUUAAGAAAACACUACAACUCUACUGAAGAUCGAAUCACCCCUGAACUCUGUUGAUUAUUGCCUAAUAGUUAUAUGCAUCCCGCUGCACCUCCCGAACCAAGGACCUAACCUACUCAGGUCCAAUAUAUUAGAUGACAAACAAUACCCCUUACAUGGAACCCACAUCCGAUUCCAGAACCUCAUCUCGUUUAUCCAACACACUACCAGGACUCAACUCAACUCGAGAGUUUGGUCCGACCCGUAGUUGCAACCGCUAUUCCCAAUGACCCAUUCAACUCAUGACUUGUGACCUGCAACCCAUGCAUACUUCACUUACCAAUUCCUUCAGAUUGCAAUGUCCACUCUUUACUUAGAAUAUAAUGAUCCCCUCGCCCCUGGUCCAACCACCAGGCUCCCAAAAACUCAUAAUUUAGGGCUAUUCAAGCCUAAAACCCUUCUGCGUCAUGCUCUAAUCAAGAGUGCUUUAUCAUAAAAUCCUUUCGCUAACUAGUGCGUACUACGGCUCCCCAUAGCAUCACAACAACCUCCUACUGACUAGUGACUACUACGGCUCCUCGUAGCAUCACAACGCCCUCUCUCUAACUAGUGAGUACUACAGCUCCCCGUAGCAUCACAACACCCUCUCUUUGACUAGUGAGUACUACGGCUCCACGUAGCUGUUGGAUAAGGUGUCUAAGUCCAUAACUAUUUCUGGUUAGUACUUGACCCGACCCGGCAUGGUCCAUUUGGGUUGCAUGGCACCAUGCAACUGGAUAGACUAAAUGAGAGGAAUAACACUUGGAGAUUAUUAAUAUAUUAUAAGUUCUAAUAUAUUAAUAAUAUCAUUUGAUUAGUUUGAUCAAAGGAUUAAUUUGGAAUUAAUUAAGUGAUCAAAAGAUAACUAAUUAAAUAUAUGGGUUGAUUAUGUAAAUCAUUCAUUUCUUGUAUAGUGGGCUAAGAGGCUCCAUGGAUUAUCAAGUUGGGUUCUACCCAUAGGAUGCUCCAUGGAUGCUCCAUGGGAGUUACAAACCCAUGGGUCAUGGAAAUGAAGAGUCAUGACACAUUAGGGUUUACAUGGUGUAACCCUAGAUGUGCCAACACUAUAUAAGAGUCCCAUUCUCCACAAAAUUGGCUACACAAGUUGAACACUAAGAAACUAGAGGGCUUGGCCGAUUUUGAGAAGUGUGUGUUAUCUCAAGAGUCUUUCCAAGAGCAUUUGGUGUUGUGUGAAGCAUUUGAGGCAUCACACUUGGGGUGCUAGGCUCACAAGGUUUCAAGGAACACAAGCAACAACAAGGUAAGUUAUUCUAUCUAUGAUUCAAGUUAAAAUUGUUCCCCAUGUAUGCUAGAUAGGAAUAUAACCUUGGAAUUCAACUUUGCAUGAUAAUUAGACAAACAUAGAUCCAAGGUUAUUAGGGUUGCAUGUACACUUAGGAAGUGUUAGAAUGCUCAAAACCCAUCAGUGGUAUCAGAGCCUAGGCUUGUUUGUUUGUUAUUUGUGCUUAAAAGUUGAAGAAAGUCGAAAAUUCUGCUGUCUGACUGAUGGACUCGGCGAGUCCAUGGGGAGGACUCGUCGAGUUCAUGUGUAUCUUCAACCUACUCGGCGAGUAGGUUUAUGCACUCGGCGAGUAGGGUCGACAGAGUGCAGAAUUUCGACUUGAGUUGCUGGAAAUGGAUUAGAAUCAUUACCCUAAAAUGUUUUGGUACUUGAAAACUUAUUUUAGAAGGUGUAAUGUCUUUUCUAACUCAUUUACAACAACUAGUUAUCAAAAUUACAAAGAUUAAAUGUGAUUUUGAUUCUUGAAAGUGUUCAUAUUCAUAUUCUUGUUCUUAUGAUGUUUAGAUGAUCAUAGGAAUUAUUUGUAACCUAUGUGGUAGAUUAAUUCAUGAUCAUAAUGUGUUUUAAUGGAGUCCAUAACUUGUCCUCAAGUUAUGGAAAACCAAAAGUCUCUUGGAUUAAAAACCAUUAAAAGAACACAAGAGUUAGGAAAAAUGAAAAGUCCUCAUUUUAUUACUCUAUUAAACUCAUAAGUUACAAGAAAUGAAAAGUUUUGAAAGUUUACAAAACUUGCCCUCAAGUUUUGGAACAAGUAAAGUUAAGUUAAAACUUUAGUUCCAACCCCUAGAAUUUUAAAAGUUAAAAUUCAACCCUUAUACUUAUAUUAUUAUGAUUUAAUAAUUAUAUAUAUAUGUAUAAGAACAAAGUCGUCUUACCGCUAGUACGCCUCAUUCACGAAGCCGGUCUAUAAGGUGGGUAUAAGGUUGUUGCCUAUAAAAUGGUGACUUAAUGGGUGUCCACUCUCACCCACCGCUUGCUUGAUCGGUGGAGGGUCGUUAGCCGAACGGGUAAGACAAGGACUUAUUAAUUCUCAUUCAAAGUAUGAUGAAUAUUAUAAAGUAACUAAAUGUUUUAUUAAAUUCCCAAUCUUAGUUACUUUAGGAAAAAUGUGAAUAAGGUGCUAUUCCAUGAAAUUACACUUUACACUUUGAUUAAGUCGUUGGUGGAGCGUGUGUGGUUAACCGGCACACUAACUUGGACUUAACAAGGUAGGUAAAGGGUGACUUAGGGUUUAUUAUAGUAUCGAUGGAGCGUGUGUGGUUAACCGGCACAUCGAUUGAGUGAUAAACUUUAAGGGUACCAAGUGAUUUGCAUGGUUACUUCACACCUCGUUUUGUGAUCCUCGGUAUCCCAGUCACAAAACUUGGAGGGCACACUCGAGAUUGAAACAUGCCUUUGAAAAGUUCAUUGAAUCUCAAAGAAUCUAGGAAUUUCUAAGAACCAUUCAAAAACCUAAUACUAAAAUAUUGCGGUUUUCGUGGUGGAAAUUGGUGAAUCGUCAUUCACCUACCUUUCAAAUAUGAUAUAGCUUAGAUUACGGCAUACCUCUUCUAAGUUAUAUUAUAUUGUGAUUGGAUCCUAGCCUUAAUAUUACAUUUGGGUGUUUUAUUAAGGACUCUCUUAUAUCUAAACUAAUCUUGUCCUCUUUCCUUCAGAUGUCUUUCAACAAUGCUUCUGGCUCUAAUCCUAAUGGCUCCUUUACCCUUAUGAACUUGUGUGGGAAAGUCACCUUUGAUGGAUCCAACUUCAAUGAGUGGAUCAGAAACAUCAGGAUGAUUACCCGCUACGAGGACAAAGAAUAUGUCCUUGACAAGGAGCUUAAGGAGAUUGAUGAGUCCACUGCAACUCCUCAGGAGAUCGCUGAAUUUCGGGCACAUGAAAGGGAUGCUACGAAAGUGGCUUGCAUCAUGAUGGCCACGAUGACAGCGGAACUCCAAAAGUCUUAUGAGGAUUUCUACCCUUAUGACAUGCACCAAGAUUUGAUGGAAAGAUACCAUCAAAGUGCAAGACAAGAGAGGUAUGAAAUCAUCUGCUCCAUGAUAACAACCAUGAUGAAGGACGGGGAAUCCGUCACGAGCCACAUGCAGAAAAUGC